RNAcentral lists this ribosomal RNA (452 nucleotides) under Rothia dentocariosa. Its description in RNAcentral is "bacterial SSU rRNA". It matches the Rfam family "Bacterial small subunit ribosomal RNA", at positions 28 to 491 of the family's 1533-position model. The record is from RNAcentral. Lineage: Bacteria; Bacillati; Actinomycetota; Actinomycetes; Micrococcales; Micrococcaceae.
GACGAGCGCUGGCGGCGUGCUUAACACAUGCAAGUCGAACGAUGAAGCCUAGCUUGCUAGGUGGAUUAGUGGCGAACGGGUGAGUAAUACGUGAGUGACCUACCUUUGACUCUGGGAUAAGCCUGGGAAACUGGGUCUAAUACCGGAUACGACCAAUCUCCGCAUGGGGUGUUGGUGGAAAGCGUUAUGGAGUGGUUUUAGAUGGGCUCACGGCCUAUCAGCUUGUUGGUGAGGUAAUGGCUUACCAAGGCGACGACGGGUAGCCGGCCUGAGAGGGUGACCGGCCACACUGGGACUGAGACACGGCCCAGACUCCUACGGGAGGCAGCAGUGGGGAAUAUUGCACAAUGGGCGCAAGCCUGAUGCAGCGACGCCGCGUGAGGGAUGACGGCCUUCGGGUUGUAAACCUCUGUUAGCAUCGAAGAAGCGAAAGUGACGUAGGGCAGAAAAGC